This 200-nucleotide unclassified non-coding RNA is filed under the name soil metagenome. Its description in RNAcentral is "partial contains internal transcribed spacer 2 and large subunit ribosomal RNA". The record is from RNAcentral.
GAGCGUCAUUGCACCCCUCAAGCUCAGCUUGGUAUUGGGCCUCCGCCUCUCGGCGAGCCCGAAAGACAGUGGCGGUCCGUCGUGACUUCAAGCGUAGUAAAUUUAUCUCCCGCUUUGGAAGCUCGCGUCGCGGCCGGCCAACAACCCACAAUUUUCCAAUGAUUGACCUCGGAUCAGGUAGGGAUACCCGCUGAACUUAA